UACUCCUACGGGAGGCAGCAGUGGGGAAUCUUGCACAAUGGGCGAAAGCCUGAUGCAGCAACGCCGCGUGCGGGACGAAGGCCUUCGGGUCGUAAACCGCUUUCAGCAGGGACGAGGCCGCGAGGUGACGGUACCUACAGAAGAAGCCCCGGCUAACUACGUGCCAGCAGCCGCGGUAAUA
RNAcentral lists this ribosomal RNA (181 nucleotides) under uncultured bacterium. RNAcentral describes it as "partial 16S ribosomal RNA". It matches the Rfam family "Bacterial small subunit ribosomal RNA", at positions 334 to 525 of the family's 1533-position model. The record is from RNAcentral.